GAACUGAAGAGUUUGAUCAUGGCUCAGAUUGAACGCUGGCGGCAGGCCUAACACAUGCAAGUCGAGCGGAUGAAGGGAGCUUGCUCCUGGAUUCAGCGGCGGACGGGUGAGUAAUGCCUAGGAAUCUGCCUGGUAGUGGGGGAUAACGUCCGGAAACGGGCGCUAAUACCGCAUACGUCCUGAGGGAGAAAGUGGGGGAUCUUCGGACCUCACGCUAUCAGAUGAGCCUAGGUCGGAUUAGCUAGUUGGUGGGGUAAAGGCCUACCAAGGCGACGAUCCGUAACUGGUCUGAGAGGAUGAUCAGUCACACUGGAACUGAGACACGGUCCAGACUCCUACGGGAGGCAGCAGUGGGGAAUAUUGGACAAUGGGCGAAAGCCUGAUCCAGCCAUGCCGCGUGUGUGAAGAAGGUCUUCGGAUUGUAAAGCACUUUAAGUUGGGAGGAAGGGCAGUAAGUUAAUACCUUGCUGUUUUGACGUUACCAACAGAAUAAGCACCGGCUAACUUCGUGCCAGCAGCCGCGGUAAUACGAAGGGUGCAAGCGUUAAUCGGAAUUACUGGGCGUAAA
This 568-nucleotide ribosomal RNA is filed under the name Pseudomonas aeruginosa. RNAcentral's name for it is "bacterial SSU rRNA". It matches the Rfam family "Bacterial small subunit ribosomal RNA", at positions 1 to 564 of the family's 1533-position model. The record is from RNAcentral. Lineage: Bacteria; Pseudomonadati; Pseudomonadota; Gammaproteobacteria; Pseudomonadales; Pseudomonadaceae.